GCUCUCCAGAUUCCUUACCCCUAGAUCUAAAUAUUGGUCUGAGUGGCUUAAAAAGGAGGACGGAAUUAAAAUUGAAGUGAACUUGAGUCUUUAGUGGCCUAUAAGUUCAUCUCAAACAUAU
This 121-nucleotide small nucleolar RNA is filed under the name Echinops telfairi (small Madagascar hedgehog). RNAcentral's name for it is "Small nucleolar RNA SNORA61 (ENSETEG00000025632.1)". Lineage: Eukaryota; Metazoa; Chordata; Mammalia; Afrosoricida; Tenrecidae. The record is from RNAcentral.